UACAGCCAGCCAGCUAGCCGUGCAGCUAGCCAACAGCUUGUCGACCAAAUCCGUGUAUGCAUGUAGGAUGUAUACAUGAUUGAUCACUGCUGGCACACAGUGACGGCAGUGCACAUAAGAUGUGAUAAAGCGGCCCAGAAGCCUCCCACUCUGUAACAUUACAUUACAUACAUAAGACUUCUGCUCCCAGUCGACCCAGUCGACCCGGGUUCAAAUCCGCCUGCCGGCUCCUCGGGUGUUUGAGGAGUGAUGAAAUGGGAGGUGGCCCCCCAUCUUAUGGACGGUGUAGGACGUGAUAAUAUCAACUUGCGAGCUGACCAGGAACUAAGUUGAUGCGCCGUUGAUCCGCUAGAUUUGGUUGGAUGCUGGUGGUGAGUUGCUGAACCCAACGAAUACAUUCUGAAGUUGGAUGGGGUGACGGAUUAGGGUGCCCCUCUAGCAGGGGAGAGCAGGGACUGCCCCGGGAAAGGGGGCCGCUGGUGAAGUUAACCACCCUGUAACAACAUACAUACAUAAGAUGGAGAGCGCAAUCGACGACUGGCACAACGAGCCAGUGAUGCAGCAGAGGGCACAAAUCAAUCACGUGGGUUUGUCGUCACCACAACGCCACCAGCCCAUUUGCUCGCGAAAUGCACACAGUGAUUCACGCCAGGGAGAAAGAGAGGGAGCGCGAGAGGGGAGUCACCUACACAAUGGGCCGAUGCAGGUGGUGGUGAUGGCGAGGAGAGAAGAGAUAGGCAAGGGAAAUAAAAGUGGCCCAACCACCCACCCACCCACCCACCCACCCACCCAACCACCAGGAAGCAAGCCGCCGUCAUCAGAACCUUCAGUGAUUCUUCCACCAGUAACGUCAUGAUCCUAGCUAAGUCCUAUUUGUCGGCGCCAUCCUCUAAAACGAUAAGGGGUAGGCCAUGUGUGUGUAUUUGUGAGCGUAUGUAUACGAAGGGAAAAAAUAGAGAGGACGGAGAGAGAGAGAGAGGGAGAAGGCGAGAGAGGGAGAAGGCGAGAGGGGGAGAAGGAGAAAGAGAGAGGAGGAAGGAGAGAGAGAGAAAGAGAGAGAAAGGGAGGUGGGAGAGGGAGAGUAUGCAGCAGCUAACGGCCUGCCUUUCCUGCACCUCACUUGCUAGCUAGGACUAACCCACCCACCCGCCAGCCUCCUCUGAUAUACUCCUCUCCUCACCAAGCCCCAAACGCUUAACCAGCCACCUUCACCAACCCCUCACUCGCCACUAACUACUUCACAUCCCUUCACCGACCAGGUAUAGCCCCUUCCGACCGACCGAGUGCACUGACGGGCGGGCAGAUGCCUUGUGGCUGCAGGCUGGGCCCCAACCCCGCUUCGCCACUCUACAGAGCACGGGGGGCAGACAGCUCGCCAGACAGACACCCACCGCCCGCCAGCUUUCUCUCCACCUGCUAAUGAACCACUCACUCGCUCACUGGAUGCCCACCGACCACACACACGAAGUGGGCUCGUACCAGGGCCCCGGCGCACCCCCCCCCUAGCCCCCCUAGCUACGUAACACUCUUAACCAAGCCCAACCUGUAAGUCGUGAGGGAGGGCGUCUGGGCAAAACCAAGCUUGCCAGCAUAUCCAGUGCCAGCGUAUCCAGAAGCCACGGAAAACAAAGGAUAUAGGAAGAGGGAUAUCUAAUCGCCAUUCACAUGCCAUGCAAACAACACCCACAAUCCAACCUUCCACCGCGACCGUCACGGCUUACUGACGUGCUUGCUCUGCACUUUAAUAACCUACACUUCUUCUCACACCCUCACACGUUUAACUGAACCUGCCGCGGUUGCUUCCGCUGCGUGCCGACGGUUAGGAAGGACAGUGUUAACAAACAUACGCUACAGCUACAGCUACAGCCAGAGACUCACAUGCAUGCCUCCAGGGCGGCGGGGGCGGCGGUGGCAUACAUACAUUACUAAGUUGAUGCGCCGUUGAUCCGCUAGAUUUGGUUGGAUGCUGGUGGUGAGUUGCCGAACCCAACGAAUACAUUCUGAAGUCGGAUGGGGUGACGGAUUAGGGUGCCCCUCUAGCAGCGGAGAGCAGGGACUGCCCCGGGAAAGGGGGCCGCUGGCGAAGUUAACCACCCUGUAACAACAUACAUACAUUUGGAAGCUCCUGCAGUGUACCUCCCGCCCGGGGAAGGGGGAGGGGGGCCGUGUGUUUCUGGCCCCCCUGUAGGGCCCCUACCGCCACCUCCUAUCCCCUACCCAGCCACUCAUCGCCGGCGAUUGCGCGCCCUGCAGGCCGUGUCAAACCCGGCUGUUUAAGCCGGUGUCAUGAAGACGCCGUCGAAGCUGCGGAUGACCCUUUGGAGCGACAACAUGGCGUUCUGCACGUGCGUGUGUGCGUGUGUGUGUGCAGGGGGAAGGGAAAGAGGGGAGACGAGGGGCCGGUCAAGCAAGGGCAGUUAAUUCCGGGCGGCAGUCAAGGAAACCAAUAGCACCGAUAGAUACCUCACAGCAGCAGUAGCAGCAGCGGCAGCACAACAAUAGCAUAGGAAACCAAAACAGUGGACAGUGAUUUUACAACCGGCACAGCACAGACGGCGAAACAGGGGUCAGCAAGGUCCAGUACCAGCAACCCGCAGCACCACCAGCGGCCAGUCGGAGUGACGGGGGGUGAGGGGGGGUCCACCGACUAGUAGUGGGGGGGGGGUUGAGGGGGAAAUAGAUAGAGGUGGGGUCCACCGACUAACGCAUGUCGGCAGGCAGCAGCAGCAGACCAGUCAGCAAAGCGAGGAAUUUUUUAUUGAUCUUUAGAUACAUCUUUAAGCGGCGGCCGGCAUUCGGCAUGCACUUUAGACAAGCGCCGGGCGGCGUAUAAACAGCCUCCUCGCCGCGGGGUUCACCGGGCAGGCGGUACCAUAUGCAUAAGGCAACAGUGGACGCCGCGAAACAGGCCACAGCGGUCCGGAUGGGGCACCCCCCAGCCCCUUCUCCUCCUCCGCCUCCUCCAUCACCUGUAUGAGCUCCUCCUGCUUUUCUCUGCGCUCCAACGCGUGCAGCUGAUGAUGAGCUCCGGAACCACCCAUCCGCCAAGCCAGGUUCACCUGCAAGACCACACACAUACAUAUGUACAUACACGCACGUAUAUAUAUGUAUAUGUAUGUACGUGCGCCCUGUGCCCCGGCCCCUGGUAACGGGGGAGCCCUACCCCUCCCGCCCUGUGCCCUGUCGACAUACACGGACACGAACACGAACACGGACACGAACACGGACACGAACACGGAAAGGUCCUGCUAAUGGAAUGCAUCUGAUGGAGGCGUCAUCAGGUUAGAGGUUAGGAGGCGCCCACAGUGCCGCAACCCACGGUGCCACACAGGGUUAGGAGGCGCCCACAGUGCCGCAACCCACGGUGCCACACAGGGUUUCUGUGGGCGGACAGCUCUACCCCUCAUUUGGGGUCGUGGGGGGGGGCGGGGGAGGAACCGGCCAUAGGUCAGGAAACGGAGGCGAUGUUCGUUUCAAGAGCUGCUGCCGUACAUCACGUCAGAGAGCUGUCGUGCAGUACGGCAUACAUGGUGUUGACAUGUAUGGGGUUUUUCUAAGGGGCUCCGCCGGCAUCUUGCUUGAGCAGCCUUUGCCUUUGCCUUUGCCUUUGGCAGCCAGAUACUGCAUAUCCUCUUGAGUUUGUUUCUACACACGCACCUUGGCGGUGACCUCCGCGCCCGUGUCCACAAACUUGACGAUCAUUAGUUUGGCCACGGAGUGACGAACCUGCUUGUAAGGGAGGGGAGAAGGAAGGGUACGACGAAGCACAGACGAUUGACGAGAAGAAAAAACCAUUGACGGAUAUUCCCAGAUGAGGGUAGGGUAGAGAAGGGUAGGGUAGGGUAGGAUAGGGUAGGGUAGGGAAGGGCAGGGGAGGGGAUAUGGGUUGGUCAGGUGGGGGGUCAAAUGCGAUGUGGCUCCGUGAUGUAUAUCACGUCGCGUUGGUGUUGUUGUUGUUGUUGUUGUUGUUGGUGGUGGUGGGGGGGGGUAUAUGUGCGGGCAGGGGGAUGACGGUGAGGGGUGUGACUUGCUUUUGGCGACAAAGGGUUUAAGCUCUCUUCCUUACCCGUACCCGUACCCUUACCCCCUGUUCCUAUCCUCUCUCGUUCUCUCUUGGAAUUGGAAACGCCCUAGAGCCCCCCACCCUACCCUCGUCUUCGUUGCCCCGUCACUUAUUCGCCAGGACAGGGUAGUUGACUGGUAGCUGACUGUACGGGUCAGGCCCCUGUGUGGAUCAGGAACCCGUCAACGACGUGUGGUGGUUGCACAGUCUAUACACAUACACACAGACCCACAUGCACCCACGCGCGCGUAUACACACAGAUUCUCUCUCUCUCUCUCUCUUUCACACACACACACACACACACACACAUACNCGACAGACACACAAAACAGGCACGUUCCAACUGUCCGACNUUGUCAUUCGGCAGCGCUGCAUCCAGCGCUUCCUCAUUCGUGCCUCCACCUCCUGACGGUGAGGUUGGGUGACAGGGUAGGAGCCGCCGGUGGGUGGGGAAGUGGGAAAAGAAGAAGAACGAAAACAACAACAACAACAAUUACUUGUAAUUACAAACCCCUACUGGUGGUGGAGAAAGUCAGACGCGGCAAUCAAUGCGCUUCAGAAAGACCCAGCGAGGGGACCCCCCUUGGAGAUUUGGUUCCCACCACACUCUUAAGCAACCCCGGGGACAACAAACAAGGUCCGCCCAUCCACCCGCCCAUUCCACCUGGCCUCUGUCCAGUGCAGCUGCACAGAGGCCAAGUACAAGUUAGUUCGGGGCGAGGAUUAUGUGCAUGUGUGCAUGUGGCCCUAUGCCUCCCGCGCAUUCACCAUGCAACCAUGUAGACGGGCAGUCUAGGAGGAGAUGACAGAUGCUGCAUCAGGGAUAUCUACUGACGAUGGGGAGAGAGGGUACCGCAGGUACGGCAUAUCUCCAACGUGCCGUACGCACUUGCAGUUUGUCCAGUGCCGCGUGCGGCAGCUUCAUCCUCCAUCGGAGCUCCCGGGGGUUGGCCAGCAGUGGACUAGGCUUGCCAACCGACCAGUGCGGAGAGCGAGUGCGGUUGAUUACGAUACUGCCGCCAACCGCCAACCGGCAACGACCGAAGAAGCAUCGAUGAUUGAUCCACGCAGGGGUUAUGUGGACGCGAUAGGCCGGUUAGUGGAUGCAUGGUUAAGAGAAGAGGAAUAUAUGGACGGGGGAGGAGCGCGAGGAGGAGGAGAUGUUUCCCAAGACGUCAUACCUAGGUACAGCAGAGAAGGCGCACGACAUUGUACGACAGCCAGGUGUGUGGACUACGCUGCGCAUCCGCAAGGGAACCCUCACUUGUACGACACUGACUGUCUAGCAGGUCAAAGACACACAUACACACGCACGUGCGCUAGCUCCCGGGUGGUUUGCGCUCUCUUUCUCCGCGCAUAAUACCCGCGAUGCGCUUCUAAACACAGCACAUGCACCCCUAAGGACCUGAUCAUCGUGCUGCCGUCUGGAACAUCGCACCCGCUCCUUCCGUCGUCUCCCCAUCUACCCUCCUNNNNNNNNNNNNNNNNNNNNNNNNNNNNNNNNNNNNNNNNNNNNNNNNNNUGAGGAUCCCCAAGGGGGUCGGGUAGCGGUUGUGAGUGAGGGGGGAGGGGGAAGGUACGGUACGGCCCCCAGGGACAUGUGAUGGAACGGGGGUACAGAUGGGGCGGAAUGCGCGAGGGCGGGCGGGCGGAGGGCAGGUCAAGGGGGAGGGGGUGGAGAGGAUCACGGGAACGACAGCACAAACCCAUGUACGACCCAAAUAACGGGAUGGAUGGGAGAGAGGUAAGCAGAAGCAUACACCGUGGCAUACAGGAAAGAGGGCCAGAGGGCACAGGGCAGUGCGAGUGGGGGGUGGGGUGGGGUGGGGGCCCCCCCAUGGAUCCUGCCGUACACCUUCCUUCCUGUACCAUUAUGGCAGUUCGCCACACUUCCACUUCCACUUCCACACACACAUACAUACAUACACACCUCCCCCCCAACACACACACGCACACCUCGCACCACCGCACAAACCAGUGUUCACAAGUGUUCACAAGUGUUCACAAGCAAUAAGCAAUAGCACUAGCUAAACACCUAAGAGCACACACACACACGCACAUUUGUCUGGCUGGUGAGAUUUUGUGAGAUGAGACUGAUGUACUCUCCCGCCACGAAAGGCCUGUGUAUGGUAUGAAGGGAGACCCCCGGCGGGGCGGGGGGAGCCCCGGGCGGUGGGGGGGGACAUGUGCGAGAAAAACUCAGAGAAUGUUCUACCGGGGUGGCGGCGGGUGGGGAGAGGGAAAAAAGGGUAAUCAGUACGGGCGACCACAUGCGGGUCAUGUGGACAACGUGAGUGGCCCCCUGGAGUGAACGGGCUUUACGGGACAUAAGGAUCCCGUAAAGGACGGGGAAGAGGGGGGGAAGACGAACCGCAAACGAGUGAGGCUGCUGCUGCCAGGGCAAGAGAGGGAGGGGGAGCCGAGGUACAUGUGUGUAUUAUUGGGUCACAGGCCAUGUUGUGCGCCGUACAAGGAAAGUCAGUGUGGAUUACAGGAUGGAGAAAAACGUAGUCGUACAUGGGCAAAACACGUUGACACCGGGGGGCUGUGGGGGACUGUGGGGUUGGGGAGGAGGGAAAGGGGGGUUGAUGCAGCAGAGGCGGCGGAGAGGCGGGAGUGCUGUAGGAGCGAAUCCCCAAAAUCCCCGGGAGUUCAGCAUCGCGCCUGCAAACGCAAACCCAAGCCGUACCUACCUGCCGUACGCACCCGGAGCGGCAAGCCGCGAUUCCACAAUCCAAACCUUGCACACGUUCCUCUCCCUCCCUCUCCCAAUCCCUCUCCCCCUCCCUCUUCCCCCCCACCCAACCCACCUCGCCAGGAAUAUGUUAAGUCCGCUCACGAAGUUGCUCAGGACCUGCUGCGUGGCCAGACCUAUGAUAAUACCGCUGGCCCCUCCCACCGCCAACAUGGGCUGUGGGGGGGAGGUGGGGAGGGGGGAGGGGGGGGGGAGGGGGGAGGGAGGGGAAGAGGGGAAGGAAAUGGGAUGAAAGGGGAAAAUGGGAGAAACAUGAGCAAAGAAUAUACGACGGUCAGGGAAUGGGAAAGGGGAGUUUAAAGGCAAGUUCAGCGUUCAGAACGCAACACGUAUUGUACAAGAGGCAAGAGUACGUACGUAUGUAUGUAUGUAUGUAUGUAUGUAUGUAUGUGAAGAGCCAUCCAGGCGUGCCGGUGUGUUCAAUGCGGGAACAGGGAGCCAUAGGCGGUGGCGGGUGGUGGCGGGCGGGCAACGGUGGGGGGGCGGGAGGAAAGGAGAACAUCAGUACUCAAGAUGCUCGAUGACGAGGGAGCGCAUAUAACCCACCCACAGCCGCCGUUCUUCAAGCGGUUUUGGAUGUUCGUACCUUACCUUACCUUACCCCCAUUCCUUUCCCCCCUCGCCGUAUCUAUCUCUGUUGAUUCACCACUGGUCCGUCUCAACCGCCCCCACCUCCCUCGUUUCCUCCUCCCUCUUUCGGCGAUACACACACACACGCACACACGCACACACGCACACACACACACACACACACACACACACCUUCAAGUUGAUCCCCAGAGCCAUGGCCAACCAGGCGGCAGAAGCCACAAUCACGAUCCAGUUCAAUAGACUGGUAACAAAAAGUGAGAGGGGGGAUGGCGGAGGCCGCAGACGGGAGGUGUGAGAUACAGCUAUGGGAUGUGUUCGGACGUGUGUUUGGGGGUGCACGUGUGUGUGCGGACGUGUGUGCGGACGUGUGUGUGUGAGUGUGUGUGUGUGUGGAGAAGGGUGUGUGUAAACGGUGGAUGCGCGCUCCAGCGGACUACACCCGGCGGCCCCCCCCCUUGUAACGGUCACCUCCGCGAGCCGCCACGGAAAGUGGGGACGGGGACGGGGACGGGACACACGGGUUGGAACUGACCUAGGGGGGUCACGACAUGGGUACGACACGAGUACGGCAUGUCUACAUGUCGUAACGGCUUCAACAACUAGACCACCUACCGCCAGCUCAGCAUGUCGGAAGUCCUAACGGAACACGAAGCCCCCAUCCCAGCCCAUCCCAGCCCCUCCCAGCAGGGAAAAGCGGGAGGCCGGUCCCAUUUCCGUGAGGUGGUCACGCACGUCCCCGCUCUCAUCCCCACAUAAAAUCAUAUUAAUCCCUCCCUGGCCAGGCGGAACAAAUAUCCAAGGAAUAAACGAAAGCUAAUCACCGUCUUCACGCCGUUCGUACCCAGAACAUGUCGUACUCUUCUCCCCCUUCACACACACAGCGACCUGGUUUCGCUACUGCCCCCCCCCUUCCCCCCCCCGGGGGUGGUCCAUGAAACGUUUCCGUUCCGAUGUUUUCACACACACCCUCUCCCCGUUCCUCCUGUGCCGUACAUACCGCUUUCCCUCUCCCCUCCUCACUUGGACACGGGGUUCACGAAGCUGGCCACCAGCUCGGGGCCCUUGUCCAUGGCCUCGAUGGAGGGCAGCAGGUAAUGGGAGAACAGGAUGUCCUUCCAACGGAGAACUACUGCACAGCUGCAAAGAACCAAACAAACCUGGAAAACAAAACACAAACACACACAAACACGAAAUCACAUAUGUGUAUGUAUGUAUGUAUGUAUGUAUGUAUGUAUGUAUGUAUGUAUGUAUGUAUGUAUGUAUGUAUGUAUGUAUGUAUGUAUGUAUAUAUGUAUUUAUGGAAGGACUCGACGACGUCAUUCCAUCGUGCGAGGGAAAAGCCUGGAGGCACGGGUGCUCAUAAUUUACGACAAUGAAUUAAAUCACGACCUAUUUAGCUCUUUCUCCCCCCCAAAACACACACACACAUACACACCUUUCCUACCCUCACCCCGCAAUCCCCCCCACCCACCCACCCACCAGGCUCAUCUUGGUCAGCAAACCAUCCAGGGGAGUGAGGCUCUGAACCAUCAGCCGGACCAGAUCGUCUGGAGGAGGAGGGGGGGGGAGGGGGGAGGGGAAGGGGAGGGCGGCCAGGAAGGGAAGGGACGGGAAAGGAAGUCAAGUGAAGUGAAGUGAGGUCGAGAGGGCGGGGGGCGCGGGUUGUGCGCCGCCGGGGGGGGCGGAGGGGAAGGCCGUCUGGGGAGUAAAGUACUACUCGGAAAGAAAGGGGCGGGUGGUGGGAGAGCCUGUGGUGUGUUGCGGCGGGAUGGGACGGGACGGGAUGGGAUGGACGCAUGCGGGACCUGGAACAUUCAACCCUUCAUUUUCAAAUCUUCAAAAAACAGGAUUGAAUCCUGUCAGGAAGAAAACCAAAGCACCAAUCAGCCACACCCAUCCAUUUUCCCAGUCCCGACUUGCAAUCCAUUAUGUUCAGCAUUGCGUAGGUAGCUUAGGUGGGCCGCACCACCGCCGGACCGACCUCACAUCAUCACUUCAUCACGACCGAACCCAAACCCGAACCCAAACCCAACCUGCACUCACUCCUCCUGGGAGCGUGUGAGCCGUCCGGAGUUGACGGCUUCUGGGGGCCAUGGCCAUACGUUUGAAUUCUGUUCUAGGGUUGAACAACCCACAGAAAGCGCCACUCACACACCUCCACCUCCACAUCUACAUCCAUCCAAUCCAUCCACUCAUCCACCCGCUUGUUCGCUGAUUAGCUCCGGCCUUCCUUCCCCGGACCUCUCAUCCCUAAAGCCACUAACAAGGAAGCGGGACCCCCACACGUGCAACACAGACAACACAACACAUUAUUCACCACCUACACCCCCCGUCGAGGGGAAGGAGCCCCUCUGCGCAGGGGAAGUCCCACACAGCACAGAGGGGCAGUGGCACAUCACAUUUGGCUUGAAAUAAUUUGGCUUGAAAUGAAACCCCGAGGGGGCUCUCGGUGCUCCGGACACCUGUCGUCGUCGUGUCGGUGAACGGCGGUUGUUGUUCCCUCCACUUGUGCGACCUUUUGCGACCUCAUGUCAGUUCCGUCCCCCCUUUUUUUUCCACCACAGCUGGUUCGGUGCGUCCUCUGCACCUAUCACUUCCCGCCCCUCCCUCCACCUUUCGCCAGGCUACCCCCACCCGCCCUGUCAACCAUCCACCCGCCCUGUCAACCAGGGUCCUAUCGCCGCCGUCAUGACGUCAUCCCGUCUUUCUUCACCCAGCCACUCAGCCACCCAGUCACUCAGCAAACACCCAGCCACUCAGCCACUCACCCACCCACCCACCUAGCCAGUCGUUCGGCAGUCGCGGGUUGAAAGCCGUGAUGAAGCCGUCAAAUAUGGCGGUGGUGUUCCGGGCCACGUUGAUGGCCAACACACUCGCCAGAGUGACCCGGGUCAGGGGGGUGGUCAGAGCAUCCGCGGCCAGGUACAACACCUCGCCACUGCCGAGGCUGCCACCACCGCCGCUGCCACCUGCGCCACCACCGCCGCUGCGCUUGCUGCCACCGCCGCCGGCACUGGCUGGCGCGUAUGGGUGCUGAAGUGUACCGUUAGAGGGGUUAGGGGGGAAGGAAUGGGGGAGAGCGGAGGAGGGGGACAGGGGAGUAAAAGGGGAGGGGAAAGCGAGGGGACGUGUGUGUUUUUAUAACCUGAUCCGCUCGGAGGAAAUGGCGAGGGAGGGGGAGGAAACAGAAAAGUACAAUGGUAGGCGUAAACUUACACGUUCGUGCCCGCGCGUGCACGCACAUACACAUACACACAUACAUCUGUGUGUGUGCUCUUCAUCUCAUCUCACUACCCUUCCCUGCCCGCACCCCUCCGCCCGCCCACCUAGCUGCCCCACAACGCCUCCUACCCCCAGCCAGCUACCCUCCUGCCCUUCCCAGCUGUCCGUCCCCCCCCCUCCCUCUCCCCUUCCCUCCCUCUCUCCCCCCUAGCUCCUGGUCACCUCCGCAUAAACCCCUCCACUCCCACUUCCGUACCCCUCUCCCGCAUCAACCCAGACACGCACUCCCACCUCCGCACUUCUCUUGGCCAGCAGUGUGAGCAGCCAGUACGCCAGCAGCGCUGCCGCCACCACCGCCACCACCUCACUGGCGAAGCGUCGAGCCAGGUAGAACUGCCAGCUGGACUCACCGCCCAGGGCCGAGGUGAGGGGGGACAGCAGCGCAUGGUAAAUGACCUGGGGGUCCUGCCAGCGGUCAGGAGGGGAAGGGGGUAAGUGGGGGGAGGUUGUGGUAAGUGGGGGUAAGUUGUGGUAAGUGGGGGUAAAAGGGGGUAAGUGGGGGGAAGUUGUGGUAAUUGGGGGUAUACAGGAGAAACGGCGGGCGUAGGGUGGAGGGAUUGGUUCAGAUGGGCCGUGCGGGCCCGGGGGUUAAGGCAGGGGGAGGGAACGGAGGACCUGCCGGGGUGGGGGAAAUCAAUCGUUAUGCAAGCGUGGUGCAUCGCAAGAGACAGAUGGGUGGGGAUUCUUGCCUGCGUAUGAGGUGGAGGAGCUGCCGGCACUGCGGCAGCUGCAACGGCGUCCGCUGCUGCGCGUUUCAGGCCAUGACAUGUCGUUUCGGGGCGACUAUUGGUGAAGGGCCGGGCCCGCUGAGUACGAGCUUGAUACGCCGGUGUGCAGCCAGGUGAUGAGGCCGUAAGGAAUCUAAUGCCGAUCUUAGGGGAAUAGGUUCCUGUUAAUGAAGGUGACGACCGAUGGGAAGGUACACAGCGGACAUUUCCCGAUGACCGUAUCAUGGAUAUAUCUUUUUCUGACCCCAAUCAGUAAUUGUUUUCGCCGCGAGCUCAAUAAGCUUCCAAGGAUAAUGUAGACGAUAGAUCAAGCGUGGGACUUGGAGUUCAAUUCAAGUCAAACGCGGCAAGUAUAACUAUGCAUACAGCGUAUUCAGUACACAAUGCUUCACACCGCACACUUUACCAAGUAUGAAACAGACAAAGGCGAAGGGUUGACUAGCCUAGAUCUAAAGCGGCCUUGCAUGAGGACAACCCGUACCAACCUACGGAUAAUGGCUGAGUGGUUAGAAUGCGUUACAACUGUGUUUGCAGUAUGUUAACAGAUAUCGGCAAACGCGUAUGUAAAGGUUUCGGGAUGAGGGCCAAUUUCUUCCUAAAUCUGCCUAUAGCAGCGGAAAUUCGCGUUUCUGGGGGUUAUCGUCAAGAUCCUUGCUGCAAGUUCUGUAGAUGGCCCUUCGGGAUCGUGCGGGAAAAAAAUUUAAGCUGGGGAUUGUCCUAUUUCUGGAAGCGACUGGGUUCGGGGACCCGAAUUUCCGUUUCAAAACUUCGGUAUGGCAGGAAAGAACCGAAGCGUUUGCCAAUGCCUGUUUAUUACACUCCUCCUCAUGAAUUGAACUUAUGUAUACGUUAUUUUCCACGCAAGGUCUGAUUUGUGGGCUGCCGUAGCUGCCACAUUCUUCCGCUGACAGCCCUUGGAUCUUAUUACAUGGCAUCAGUCCUUUCUCUCACUUACGGCUUAUUCAUUUUUUUGGCAUAAGCGAAUGGCAUUAGUUAGAUGGUGUUUUUUUGUAUUUUUGCCAGGGUUUCAGCCUAACUGAAAUGGAAGGCCGCAAGGAGGAGAUUGACAGCUAUGUGCCGCAGUUACACUAGACCUGCGAUAGGUACUCUCGACAACGCCGCGAGAGUUGAGGCUGUUGAAGGUGCCGUGAUGUUGUGCGGAAGUUGUCGUGCCGUUACAGCAACCUUGCCGUAUUAUUGGAGAUUUCUGGGCCUGCUGAGGAGGAAGCCCAUAUCGCCAUGUGAGGUAAAUCCGUCAUGGCAUAGGCCUUAUCUCCGAAUGUGCAGGUUCAUUGCUCCGCAUAUACGGCCGCUGUGCAUCCCGGACCAGCAUAGGGUCGCUCUUCUGUAUCCAUAGAGCUCCGUUCGCAGUUGUGAUGCGCAUGAGGUCAGCAGCGGCACUGAGCUGGAGCAGCAGCGAGCUGUCGGCGAAUAAGCGCGACGAAUGCAGCCAGAAGCCCAGAAUAUCCGCAGGAGCAUCAGCAUCAGCAGCAGCAGCCGCUGCAACAGGGCCAGCAGCAGGGCCAGCAGUAGGGUCAGCGGUAGGGGCAAUAAAAACGACGUCAGGGGUGAUGCAGGAUUGGCGGAGGAUGUUGGCCUUGAGCGUCGUUUUCGGCUCGGUCAACAUAAUGCGAUGUCGUCCGUCUGUCGCUCAUAACUUACAUAGCAACAGGACUGGCGGAGGAUUCCUAUGCAAGGGGAACUACCUGGGUGGGACCUUUGAGAAGACAUAAGAGGUUCCGCCUGCGAACACCGAUUGCCGUACAAACGCACGUGCAUGGAUCCCGUCGAAAUGCCGAGCAACUGCCGAACAGUCGGAUGCAGACGGGGUACGCAUAAUGGGCGCGUCGCAUUAUGGGAGACUUUAUCACAGCAUAAAUGAGCUUGAUUGGUCAUACUAACGGGACAGCUUUUAAAGCUGUGCGCCCAGUGAAUUACUUUGCUGCCUGUCAUGGGCGCACAGGCUGCUUAACAAGGAAUAAAACUUGCUUGUACAGCUCCCACGUAGCUUCUCAAUAGUUCUCGAUAACGGCCAAGUUUACAGCCCAAUGUUUCUUGACGUUACAGCGAAACUAAAAGCGAACGCUGCAAGUGCUUUUCAGGAUGGAAACCUACAAAUCUGUGUGGCAGCUACCAGACAGGCGAUCGAUAUACUGGAUGGCGUCCUGCAAUGCGGGGACGGCUCGCGGCGUGGCGAGAUUAUGCGGGAAUUGUCAUGCCUUCACAGCAACCUUGCCGCAGCACUCCUGGAGCUCGGGAACUAUGAACCAGCUGCAGAGGAAGCACGUAUUGCAAUUGAGCUUUAUCCGUCAUGGCAUCGUCCAUAUCUCCGACUGUGCACCGCUCUGACGGCCUUGCAUCGAUCCCCGGACCCAGCAGCUGCCGUCUUGCGUCACGCCUUGGAAUCUUGCAAGGACCCGGCCCAGGUUAUGGAGUUGAAGGAUGCACUUCGCGUCGUGCUCCAACGCCCAACGGAUUCCGCCAUUAGUCGCUGCGGCGAUGCGCGCCAACGCGACCCUCUGGCAGCGACGACAGCAGCAGCGUUCCCCACGCAGCAGCCACCUCCGCAAGCACAGCAGGACACCAGCUGCAAUCACCAGGCACCGGAUAGUUCCGGAAGUGCCAAACCUCAAGCUUGUCCCAAGCGGCUUCGCACUUCGGGCGGCAGUGGAUUGCAGCUGGAGUCUCUACCGCCUGUUGCAUUAAAUCCCCCCGCCACUGCCGGCUACACGCGGUAUAAAGCCUGUGGAGAACAUGUUGCUGGUGGUUCUUGUAGGCUCGAAGCUGGUGCUGCUGAGUCGUCACAUCCAGUGAAACGGCCAGAAGAAAGCCAUGUGAUAACUCCUGACGUGUCAUCGACACACCAUCACCAUCAGAAUGAGCAGCCGCAGCCGCCGCAGCCACAGCAGCCGCAGCAGCCACAGCAGCCGCAGCCGCACCGUGUCCUCCCCGUGAUCGCCCUGUGCGGUUUCCUAGGUGCUGGCAAGACCACCCUCGUGCGGCACCUGUUAAGCUGCAUGAGCUCUCCCUCGCCCUCCGAAGCCAUAGCACAUGUAGGCUUGCUGGUCAACGAUUUGGCUCCUGUAAACAUCGAUGCACAGCUGCUAACACGACCGCUGCCACCACCACCACCGCUACUGGCACCUCAUCCAUCAGUGCGCCGACAGCCACUGCGUUCAUCACCGCCACCAUCAGAGUCAGCCACGGCAGCGGGGGCAGCUAUUCACAACAUGGGUGCCGCUGCAGCUAAUGCGGCGGCAGCGGCAACCCCCCACCACAACCACCACCACGUGGCUGUGGGCGAGCUGUUGGAGCUAUCCAACGGCUGUGUGUGCUGCAACCUGCGAGGGGCGCUGCAGGAGCAGCUGCUCCGGCUGGCGGCUCGAGAUCCCCCCCUGGAGUACCUCGUCGUGGAGUGCACUGGCAUGGGCGCGCCAGAGCCGCUGGCGGGCGCUGUACAGGCGCUGGUGGCGGCGGGGCUGCAGCUUCUGACCGUUGUGACGGUUGUGGACUCGAGCACGUUCCUCGAGACCAUCAAGGGCAAUAGUGGGGUGUGGGGGGGGGGAGGUGGUGGAGGUAGAGGUGGCGCCAGGAGCGCAGAGGUGCUGGCGCUGUGUGGCGCCGCAGGGACUACACCAGCUGGUGGAGGAGCGGCGGCGGUGAGGGCUGGUGGUAACACAACUCAUCCGCGGCAGCCGCUGGCGAAGCUGCUGGUACAACAGGUGGAGUCAGCUGAUGUGGUAUUGCUGAACAAGUGUGACAGGCUGGGAGAGCGAGUGCGGCAACGAUGGCGGCAGCGGCAGCAGCCGCAGCCAGGUGAUGACGAGCACGGGGCGACGGAAGCGGGAGUGGAUGAGGAUGGGGAUGAGGAUGUGGCGGCCGAGGCGCUCUUGGAGUUGCGACGGGUGCGGGCAGUUGUUCGUGCGCUCAACCCCUCUGCCCGCAUACUGCAGUGUGUUCGGUGUGAGGUGCCGCUGGAGGUGAUACUUCGCCCUCAGGACCAGGACCUACCGCUGUACCACCACCACCACCACCACCAACAACAACAACAACAACAACAACACGGGCCUCUACCGCCGACCACGGCCACCCAGGGUGGUGGGACGCAAGGGCAACACCAACAGCCGCAACAGCGGCAACAGCAAAAGGGCGAACAACAACAACAACAACAACAACAGCAGCAGUCGUCACCGCAGCUGCUGCAGCCGGAGCAGCUACCUGUUGACAGGCUGCCAGCAGUGAUGAUGUUGCCUCCUGAUGGGGAGAAGGCUGACGGGGAGAUCGUCGUCGGCGUGGCGCGAGGAGGAGUGGACAGCCGGCAUGACUCGGAAGUGCUUAGCCAGCUGCAGGCAGCAGGCUCGACAGCUGCUGGUGCUGGUGCAACUGCAACUGCUGUCAGACCAUCGCUGGGUAUUAAGGAGGGGGACAAGAACGAGGACAGGGCCCAUGAAGAGGAUGAAUACGGCAUCGGGUCGUAUGUUUUUCGCAGUCGGGUGCCGUUCCAUCCUGCGCGGCUGUGGGCGCUGCUGCAGGCGCUGCAGGCUGCUGAGCCGAGUGAUGAGCAGGAUGGUGAUGCUGGAGGGGCCGCGGCGGAGGCGAUGGAGGGAGGUGCGUCGGAGGAGAAGGAUCAGCGAAAAGAGUUGGAUUCAGGGCCCGGGCCCGGCGGUGGGGCCGGGGUUGUCCAGGGGGUUGUGGCACAACAAGUCCCACCCUCCCAGCCACUUACAGACCAGCCAGUGACACUGCCUUACCAGCCACCACCGUUGCUUCGAGCGAAGGGCUUCUUCUGGAUUGCCAGCCUAUCGCAGGUAGGCCGGGGGUGGGUGGGGUGGGGUGGGUGGGGUGGGUGCAAACAGCAGCUCAAGCUUAAAUGUCUUGUUGUGAUUGCAUGGCAAAGUUAGUUACAUAUUCCUCCGGCUCGAUUACCAUUCCUUCCGCCAUUAAGCGGUUGUUCAGUUGGUGCUACGUAUGUAUGUAUGUAUGUGUGCAUGUAUGUAUGCAUGUAUGCGCAAGCCUACUCAGUGGCGUAUGCGGGGUUAGCAGCAUGCACCCUUAGCUAGCUGUGCGUGUAUAUGUGCUUGUGUAUGUGGAUGAGUUGAUGUUCCGGCCUCAUCACGCCACUCACUGGUCCUCCCCUACCCGCACAUUACGCCACUCACUGGUCCUCCCCGCCGGCGCCAUCAGGCCACCUGGGAGCUGUCCCUGGCGGGAGGUGAGGUGGAGCUGGAGGCAGUGGGCAGGUGGCUGUGCACUAUGGUGGACCCAGAAAACUGGCCCGUGGGUCGGUGGCGACCACUGCCCUCCACUGAUAACAACGACAUCACCAGCAGCCACAGCGGCGGCAGCGGCGGCGGCGUUCAUGGCGUUGCCGACUGCGGCAGCGGUGAAAUCCCGGAGGGUAUUCACGACCCUGAGGCUGCUGCUGCUGCUACUGCUGCUACUGCUGCUACUGCUGCUACUGCUGCUGCUGCUGCUGCUGCUGCGGACAUUUGCGACAUCCACUCGGCAGCACCUCCCAGUGCUUGUGGUGGUGGAGCAGCUACUGCAGCUGAUGACCAAGAAGACAUUGAUGUCGCGACUGAAGGCAGCGGUGGCAGUGGUCAUAUUGGUGUCAGCGACGGUGCUGGUGGAGAUGGAGAUGGGGCGCGAGCUGGCGGGCACUGGCACCGGCGGUGGGGUGACCGGUGUAACGAGCUCGUCUUCAUCGGCGUGGGGCUCGGGGAGUUGUUGCAAGGUGGGCAGCCACCGCUGGUGGAGGCGGCAGCAGCCCGCCUGGCGGAGAAGACGGCGACGGAGGUUACGGAGGAGACGGCGGAGGAAUUGGAUCCCACAGCCCGAUUGAGGGCAUUGCUGCAGUGGGCUCAACUGGUACCGGAGGAGCUGCAUUUGGGGGAGGGGGUGUGGGCGAGCUGGGGGGAUGAUGCAUGGCUGAGGAUGCUUGAGCAGUACUAGGCUAGGGGCAGGAGGAGGUGCGUGCAGGAGUGUGUGCUGGGAGGUGUGGGGUCAACGAACGUCGUCAUGGGGGGUAAGGUACUGCGGGAGGAGGUCUGAGGAGGCUUUGUCGAGAUAGUGCUGCUUAUUGGGAGGGGUGGGGCGGGGUAAGUGAGGGGUGCCAGUGGACUGUUUUGCCAUGUAUGUGUAUAUACCAUCAAUACUGUUGUAUUUAUACUAUUUUGUGUGUACAUAUGUAUAGAUAAACACAACAGUGUUGGUGAUUAGAUUAGUAGUAGUAAUGUAGCACAUAUGUUACAGCACCAGCCACCAGCAGCCACCAUUUGCAGUGGCUGGCUGCCGCUGGAAAGGCCUCUCGAGAUGCUGCCAGUGCUGAAGCGCUUAGCGCGUGUUUUGUCGAUGAUAUGUGUGCUGUACUGUGUACAACAGCUACUACUACACCAAGCAACCUGAACAUCCCCGGUACGGAAGGGAACGCAAGCUAGGGUCUGUUAUCCGUAACAAUGGCUGCGGCUGCAGCGCCAUAUGUAUUCAGCUCUUGCUCUUCCCUUCGGAUUACAGCACACACACAUACACACAUAACAUACACGCACAUCCAGACCGUACUGCGGUACAUGUACACAUGCGUGACAAACAAAUAUUUUAUUGUGUCAAACAUGCAAGGAAUUUUCCAUGAUCGAUUGAUAUGGCGGGAUUACUUUUGUGGCAUCACCCCCACGAAACCGAUGCACGGUUGGGUGCUUAAGGUGGUACACCUCCUUGCCCAAGGCCAGUUGACGGUUACAUCGGGCUUAGCAUGGCUUGUCGGGCAACCAGGAGUACGGCAACACUUGACACCACCGCCAUUGAUUCGGCAGGUUCUGCAGAUGCUGUUGUGUGUUGGUGUGUGUUGCUGAACUCCGAGAAAACACCGCUACGCCACGCAGCAGCAGCAGCAGCCGGACUGACUUCACGCACUCACACCCGGCCCCUGCACGCACAAUAAAAAGGAGGCCACAGCAUUCUUAUGACACUGCGAGUCCUCGCACCUGUAAAAAAAAGCGCCAGCACCAUUCCCGCAAGCCAAAAAACAAGUUACAUACUGCUACCAUCAUUGCAACCACCCCCCAGCAGCACGUAGAAGCAUAUGCACCACCGCCACCAUCACCACCAACAGCAGUAGCACUACUACCAGUGCCAACCAAAGGCCAACACACAAAAGGCGCAACAGCUUACAGCGCCUACUAAGGAAUACAUCCACCUCCCCAGAGCACAGUAUGCGCACACGCUGCAUUUACAGACAGCUUCGCUUACGCUUAAAUCAUACAGCUUUCCAUGCACAAUAUCAUCCACGUCUUAAAUGCGCGCAUACAGGUACGCAUACAGGAUAGGCAAUUCACACGUUCCAUGACACCAAAAUGUCGUACUGAUUCGUACUGAUUCGUCGCAUGCCGAUUGUACUUCAGCGCCGCUGUUAAAUGACGACGCCUUUAAAUCAGCACGCAAUAAAUUACGCAUUCUUAAAAGGAAAAAUCUUCGGAUGCAUCCAUCACCCAGUCAAACAUUUUUAAUAGCUCCCAAACAAAUACAACGACAAAAAGAUGGUGAGCGCGUAGGCGGUGUGGGUGUACUGGCGCCUGGGGUGUACUUGGCCACCCACAGUAAGUAUGGCGGUAGCGUGCAUGUCUAAACAGCGACAACGAAUACGGUUUCCGUGAUCAUACUGCUUCACUCUUCGGAACCAGGCAAGGUCAAGGCGCGCUGCAGCAGCUGCAGGGCUUGGCGGCUGGGGGGUCCUGGCGCGCGUCAGUCGCUCGUCUGCAGUGCAUUACGGUUAGCUUUAGAGGGGUCGUAUAACUCGUACUUGUACGCAAGAAUAGGAAGUUGAGUGCGGCUUGAAACCAUUAUGCGCAUCCAAACAUAUCUCAAAAAUGAAUAUAUAAUUAACAGACAUCCAUAUACAUAUUUAUAAAGAAUGGAACACUGUACGCUUGCUAGUCACGGCUCACCCUUUAGCAUGCAAGUUAACUUGAUCGUUCUUCCUUACGGAAAUAGCGGCCGGUCAGUGCCGACGAUGGACGUUAGGAACGCGGGCGCUGUGUCUAGGCACGACGUUUGAUCGCGCAACUUCUGCGUUUCACAAGUCUCACCUAACAUACGUUUGUACCUGUACUUGAGUUAUCUCAUCCGUCAUCACCUCAUCUGAUUUGGCGUAGUAAGGAAGGUCCCGAUGACCUGAUGCUGACCGCCGUGUCAGACCGCACCUUACUUACCCCUAGGUACGGCACUCACACAUACAUACAUACGUGAACGGAUUAGGGUGCCCCUCUAGCAGGGAAGAGCAGGGAACUGCCUCCAAGGGAAAGGGGGCCGCUGGUGAAGCUAUACCCCCCUGUAACAACAUACAUACAU
Molecule: long non-coding RNA, 19762 nt
Filed under: Volvox carteri
Lineage: Eukaryota; Viridiplantae; Chlorophyta; Chlorophyceae; Chlamydomonadales; Volvocaceae
Description: long non-coding RNA (VCAR_LNC002000)
Source: RNAcentral